AAAUUGAAGAGUUUGAUCAUGGCUCAGAUUGAACGCUGGCGGCAGGCCUAACACAUGCAAGUCGAGCGGCAGCGGGAAAGUAGCUUGCUACUUUUGCCGGCGAGCGGCGGACGGGUGAGUAAUGCCUGGGGAUCUGCCCAGUCGAGGGGGAUAACUACUGGAAACGGUAGCUAAUACCGCAUACGCCCUACGGGGGAAAGCAGGGGACCUUCGGGCCUUGCGCGAUUGGAUGAGCCCAGGUGGGAUUAGCUAGUUGGUGAGGUAAUGGCUCACCAAGGCGACGAUCCCUAGCUGGUCUGAGAGGAUGAUCAGCCACACUGGAACUGAGACACGGUCCAGACUCCUACGGGAGGCAGCAGUGGGGAAUAUUGCACAAUGGGGGAAACCCUGAUGCAGCCAUGCCGCGUGUGUGAAGAAGGCCUUCGGGUUGUAAAGCACUUUCAGCGAGGAGGAAAGGUUGGUAGCUAAUAACUGCCAGCUGUGACGUUACUCGCAGAAGAAGCACCGGCUAACUCCGUGCCAGCAG
RNAcentral lists this ribosomal RNA (526 nucleotides) under Aeromonas veronii. Its description in RNAcentral is "bacterial SSU rRNA". It matches the Rfam family "Bacterial small subunit ribosomal RNA", at positions 1 to 514 of the family's 1533-position model. Lineage: Bacteria; Pseudomonadati; Pseudomonadota; Gammaproteobacteria; Aeromonadales; Aeromonadaceae. The record is from RNAcentral.